UACGUAGGGGGCAAGCGUUGUCCGGAUUUAUUGGGCGUAAAGAGCGUGUAGGCGGCCAGAUAGGUCGGUUGUGAAAACUGGAGGCUCAACCUCCAGACGUCGAUCGAAACCAUCUGGCUAGAGUCCGGAAGAGGAGAGUGGAAUUCCUGGUGUAGCGGUGAAAUGCGCAGAUAUCAGGAGGAACACCCGUGGCGAAAGCGGCUCUCUGGGACGGUACUGACGCUGAGACGCGAAAGCGUGGGGAGCGAACAGG
Molecule: ribosomal RNA, 253 nt
Filed under: uncultured bacterium
Lineage: Bacteria
Description: partial 16S ribosomal RNA
Rfam family: Bacterial small subunit ribosomal RNA
Source: RNAcentral